This 756-nucleotide ribosomal RNA is filed under the name uncultured bacterium. RNAcentral's name for it is "bacterial SSU rRNA". It matches the Rfam family "Bacterial small subunit ribosomal RNA", at positions 8 to 796 of the family's 1533-position model. The record is from RNAcentral.
AGAGUUUGAUCCUGGCUCAGAAUCAACGCUGGCGGCGUGCCUAACACAUGCAAGUCGAACGAGAAAGUGGAGCAAUCCAUGAGUAAAGUGGCGCACGGGUGAGUAACACGUGACUAACCUACCUUUUUGUGGGGGAUAACCUAGGGAAACCUGGGCUAAUACCGCAUAAUACCUACGGGUCAAAGCAGCAAUGCGCAGAAAGAGGGGGUCGCGGUCGAUUAGUUAGUUGGCAGGGUAAUGGCCUACCAAGACUGUGAUCGAUAUCCGGCCUGAGAGGGCGCACGGACACACUGGAACUGAAACACGGUCCAGACUCCUACGGGAGGCAGCAGUGGGGAAUUUUGCGCAAUGGGGGAAACCCUGACGCAGCAACGCCGCGUGGAGGAUGAAGUCCCUUGGGACGUAAACUCCUUUCGAUCGGGACGAUAAUGACGGUACCGGAAGAAGAAGCCCCGGCUAACUUCGUGCCAGCAGCCGCGGUAAUACGAGGGGGGCAAGCGUUGUUCGGAAUUAUUGGGCGUAAAGGGUGCGUAGGUGGUUCGGCAAGUCUUGUGUGAAAUCUUCAGGCUCAACUUGAAGUCUGCACAAGAAACUGCCGGGCUUGAGUAUGGGAGAGGUGAGUGGAAUUUCCGGUGUAGCGGUGAAAUGCGUAGAUAUCGGAAGGAACACCUGUGGCGAAAGCGGCUCACUGGACCAUUACUGACACUGAGGCACGAAAGCUAGGGGAGCAAACAGGAUUAGAUACCCUGGUAGUCC